UGGGGAAUCUUGGACAAUGGGCGCAAGCCUGAUCCAGCCAUGCCGCGUGGAUGAUGAAGGCCUUAGGGUUGUAAAAUCCUUUCGCCGAGGACGAUAAUGACGGUACUCGGAGAAGAAGCUCCGGCUAACUUCGUGCCAGCAGCCGCGGUAAUACGUAGGGUGCGAGCGUUACUCGGAAUUACUGGGCGUAAAGCGUGUGUAGGUGGCUUGUUAAGUCCGAUGUGAAAUCCCUGAACUCAAUUCAGGAACUGCAUUGGAUACUGGCAGGCUUGAGUAUAGGAGAGGUAAGCGGAAUUCCAGGUGUAGAGGUGAAAUUCGUAGAUAUCUGGAGGAACAACAGAGGCGAAAGCGGCUUACUGGACUAUUACUGACACUGAGAUGCGAAAGCGUGGGGAGCAAACAGGAUUAGAUACCCCCGUAGUCCCUGAGCGGGCUGGCAAGGCGCAU
Molecule: ribosomal RNA, 447 nt
Filed under: uncultured bacterium
Lineage: Bacteria
Description: bacterial SSU rRNA
Rfam family: Bacterial small subunit ribosomal RNA
Source: RNAcentral